AUCACUGUUAAUGAUAAAAUUGAAUAAUUAUAUUCCAAUUAAACGAAAUAUAAAGUUUAAAAUUAAGC
This 68-nucleotide transfer RNA is filed under the name Apocheima cinerarius. RNAcentral's name for it is "tRNA-Asn". Lineage: Eukaryota; Metazoa; Arthropoda; Insecta; Lepidoptera; Geometridae. The record is from RNAcentral.